GUGCACGCUGGCGGUAGGCCUCACCCCUGCCAGUCGCACGGCAGCACCGUAAGAGCUUGCUCUUACGGGUGGCGAGUGGCGGACGGGUGAGGAAUACAUCGGAAUCUACUUUUUCGUGGGGGAUAACGUAGGGAAACUUACGCUAAUACCGCAUACGACCUACGGGUGAAAGCAGGGGAUCUUCGGACCUUGCGCGAUUGAAUGAGCCGAUGUCGGAUUAGCUAGUUGGCGGGGUAAAGGCCCACCAAGGCGACGAUCCGUAGCUGGUCUGAGAGGAUGAUCAGCCACACUGGAACUGAGACACGGUCCAGACUCCUACGGGAGGCAGCAGUGGGGAAUAUUGGACAAUGGGCGCAAGCCUGAUCCAGCCAUACCGCGUGGGUGAAGAAGGCCUUCGGGUUGUAAAGCCCUUUUGUUGGGAAAGAAAAGCAGCAGGUUAAUACCCCGCUGUUCUGACGGUACCCAAAGAAUAAGCACCGGCUAACUUCGUGC
This 492-nucleotide ribosomal RNA is filed under the name uncultured bacterium. Its description in RNAcentral is "partial 16S ribosomal RNA". It matches the Rfam family "Bacterial small subunit ribosomal RNA", at positions 29 to 508 of the family's 1533-position model. The record is from RNAcentral.